This 1120-nucleotide long non-coding RNA is filed under the name Sparus aurata (gilthead seabream). RNAcentral describes it as "lncRNA (ENSSAUG00010023599.1)". Lineage: Eukaryota; Metazoa; Chordata; Actinopteri; Spariformes; Sparidae. The record is from RNAcentral.
UCACAUAUGGUCAGUUACAUUUCUUGAAUGUGGCCCUGUGAGCAUUCCCAACGAAUAAACACCAUCUCUUUCUUUUCCAGAUCCCCCUAAGAACACCUCAGUUUCCGUCGAGCCCCCCGGUCCAGUGCAGGACGGCAGCUCUGUGACUCUGACCUGCACAACCGUCGCCAAUCCAGCAGCGGUUAACUUCACCUGGUUCCGAGUGGUGGGCAGAGAAAAUGAGCCGGUGGGCUCUGAGCGAGACUUCACCUUCAACGUGACCAAACUCUCAGAGGAUCAGUUUUACUGCGAAGCUCUGAACGUCCACGGAGCUGAACUCUCAGAGCCUGCCAGUUUCGACGUCACAUUUGCUCCAGAGAUCCUGCUUUCCUCCCGCUGCAUCAAGAUUUUAUCCCAGGUCCGAUGUUCCUGUGACAGCCAGGCGAACCCCCCUCCCUCCCUGCUUUGGGAGUUAGCCGGAGAGCCUGUCAAUCACUCUGCGGACAUCCCGAUCCAGGAAGUUCCCCUGGGAGACCUGAGCAUGAGGAGCGUCAUCACCUUGUACCGCCUGGACGAACACAUGCCCUCUCUCGUCUGCGUCAGCAUCAACUCGCUGGGCUCUGAUAGUGUUGUGUUCAACGUGACCGCCAGUGAAACUCAGCUAGGUCUCCACACUGUGUCUCUGUUGAUCGGCUCUGCAGUAGGAGCUCUGGGGAUGCUGCUGGUGUGUGUCCCGCUGCUGCUUUUCUACUGCAGGAAAAGGAAAGGCAGCCUUUCACCUGACAAGGGACCGGUGGACACUUCGGACAUUUUAGCUAAUGGGAAAAGCUCUUCACCAGUGGAUGUGAUCUAUGCCAAUGCAGCCAUUGUAGAACAGGAAGCUGCAGCUAACGAGGACUCUAUCCACUACGCCAACGUGACUUUUGCUAAACUCCAGGCCAACUCAGAGAGCAAGCUCAGUGAGGGCGAGAUCCGAGGCCUGGACUCCAAGACCGGGGAGUACGCUCAGAUCCGUUUGAAGCCCAAGGAACGCAGGGGAGGAGAUGCAACAAAUGGAGAGACAGCUGCUGAUACUCAUCUGGGUCAAGAGAAAGACACUGAUGGUCUCAUAGGACAGGUCAGUGAAAAGGUUUUGGCUUAA